Molecule: ribosomal RNA, 424 nt
Filed under: uncultured prokaryote
Description: bacterial SSU rRNA
Rfam family: Bacterial small subunit ribosomal RNA
Source: RNAcentral
UGGGGAAUAUUGGACAAUGGGCGAAAGCCUGAUCCAGCAAUGCCGCGUGUGUGACGAAGGCCUUAGGGUUGUAAAGCACUUUCACCCGCGAGGAUGAUGACGGUAGCGGGAGAAGAAGCCCCGGCUAACUCCGUGCCAGCAGCCGCGGUAAUACGGAGGGGGCGAGCGUUGUUCGGAAUUACUGGGCGUAAAGGGCGUGUAGGCGGCCUUGUCAGUCAGGCGUGAAAUCCCCGGGCUCAACCUGGGACGUGCGCUUGAUACUGCAGGGCUUGAGAGCGAGAGAGGUAAGCGGAAUUCCCAGUGUAGAGGUGAAAUUCGUAGAUAUUGGGAAGAACACCAGUGGCGAAGGCGGCUUACUGGCUCGUUUCUGACGCUGAGGCGCGAAAGCGUGGGGAGCGAACAGGAUUAGAUACCCCCGUAGUCC